GCUUGUUUAGUAUAAGUGAGUAUAGCUGCCUUCCAAGUAGUUGGUUUAAGUCUUUAAAACAAGCA
RNAcentral lists this transfer RNA (65 nucleotides) under Phasianella australis. RNAcentral describes it as "tRNA-Gly". The record is from RNAcentral. Lineage: Eukaryota; Metazoa; Mollusca; Gastropoda; Trochida; Phasianellidae.